Molecule: ribosomal RNA, 1353 nt
Filed under: metagenome
Description: bacterial SSU rRNA
Rfam family: Bacterial small subunit ribosomal RNA
Source: RNAcentral
CGUAGCGAAAGUUACGCUAAUACCGCAUAUUCUGUGCGCAGGAAAGCAGGGGAUCGCAAGACCUUGCGCUGAUUGAGCGGCCGAUAUCAGAUUAGCUAGUUGGUGGGGUAAAAGCUCACCAAGGCGACGAUCUGUAGCGGGUCUGAGAGGAUGAUCCGCCACACUGGAACUGAGACACGGUCCAGACUCCUACGGGAGGCAGCAGUGGGGAAUUUUGGAUAAUGGGGGCAACCCUGAUCCAGCCAUGCCGCGUGAGUGAAGAAGGCCUUCGGGUUGUAAAGCUCUUUCGGCCGGGAAAAAAUCGCAUGGGUUAAUACCCUGUGUGGAUGAUGGUACCGGAAUAAGAAGCACCGGCUAACUACGUGCCAGCAGCCGCGGUAAUACGUAGCGUGCGAGCGUUAAUCGGAAUUACUGGGCGUAAAGCGUGCGCAGGCGGUUUUGUAAGACAGGCGUGAAAUCCCCGGGCUCAACCUGGGAACUGCGCUUGUGACUGCAAGGCUAGAGUAUGGCAGAGGGGGGUGGAAUUCCACGUGUAGCAAAAUGCGUAGAGAUGUGGAGGAACACCAAUGGCGAAGGCAGCCCCCUGGGCCAAUACUGACGCUCAUGCACGAAAGCGUGGGUAGCAAACAGGAUUAGAUACCCUGGUAGUCCACGCCCUAAACGAUGUCAACUAGGUGUUGGGAGGGUAAAACCUUUUAGUACCGGAGCUAACGCGUGAAGUUGACCGCCUGGGGAGUACGGCCGCAAGGUUAAAACUCAAAGGAAUUGACGGGGACCCGCACAAGCGGUGGAUGAUGUGGAUUAAUUUGAUGCAACGCGAAAAACCUUACCUACCCUUGACAUGUCCAGGAGCCUGAAGAGAUUUGGGUGUGCCCGAAAGGGAACUGGAACACAGGUGCUGCAUGGCUGUCGUCAGCUCGUGUCGUGAGAUGUUGGGUUAAGUCCCGCAACGAGCGCAACCCUUGUCGUUAAUUGCAUCAUUCAGUUGGGCACUUUAACGAGACUGCCGGUGACAAACCGGAGGAAGGUGGGGAUGACGUCAAGUCCUCAUGGCCCUUAUGGGUAGGGCUUCACACGUCAUACAAUGGUCGGUACAAAGGGUUGCCAACCCGCGAGGGGGAGCCAAUCCCAGAAAGCCGAUCGUAGUCCGGAUUGCAGGCUGCAACUCGCCUGCAUGAAGUCGGAAUCGCUAGUAAUCGUGGAUCAGCAUGUCACGGUAAAUACGUUCCCGGGUCUUGUACACACCGCCCGUCACACCAUGGGAGCGGGUUCCGCCAGAAGUAGGUAGCCUAACCGCAAGGGGGGCGCUUACCACGGCGGGGUUCGUGACUGGGGUGAAGUCGUAACAAGGUA